RNAcentral lists this ribosomal RNA (429 nucleotides) under Acidobacteriota bacterium. Its description in RNAcentral is "Acidobacteria bacterium partial 16S ribosomal RNA". It matches the Rfam family "Bacterial small subunit ribosomal RNA", at positions 355 to 776 of the family's 1533-position model. Lineage: Bacteria; Pseudomonadati; Acidobacteriota. The record is from RNAcentral.
UGGGGAAUUUUGGACAAUGGGGGAAACCCUGAUCCAGCCAUCCCGCGUGUGCGAUGAAGGCCUUCGGGUUGUAAAGCACUUUUGGCAGGAAAGAAACGUCAUGGGUUAAUACCCCGUGAAACUGACGGUACCUGCAGAAUAAGCACCGGCUAACUACGUGCCAGCAGCCGCGGUAAUACGUAGGGUGCAAGCGUUAAUCGGAAUUACUGGGCGUAAAGCGUUCGCAGGCGGUUCGGAAAGAAAGAUGUGAAAUCCCAGAGCUCAACUUUGGAACUGCAUUUUUAACUACCGGGCUAGAGUGUGUCAGAGGGAGGUGUAAUUCCGCGUGUAGCAGUGAAAUGCGUAGAUAUGCGGAGGAACACCGAUGGCGAAGGCAGCCUCCUGGGAUAACACUGACGCUCAUGCACGAAAGCGUGGGGAGCAAACAGG